UACGUAGGUGACUAGCGUUGUCCGGAUUUACUGGGCGUAAAGAGCGCGCAGGCGGUCGUUCAAGUCGAGUGUGAAAGCCCCCGGCUCAACUGGGGAGGGUCAUUCGAUACUGAUCGACUCGAAGGCAGGAGAGGGAAGCGGAAUUCCCGGUGUAGUGGUGAAAUGCGUAGAUAUCGGGAGGAACACCAGUGGCGAAGGCGGCUUCCUGGCCUGUUCUUGACGCUGAGGCGCGAAAGCUAGGGGAGCGAACGGG
Molecule: ribosomal RNA, 253 nt
Filed under: uncultured bacterium
Lineage: Bacteria
Description: partial 16S ribosomal RNA
Rfam family: Bacterial small subunit ribosomal RNA
Source: RNAcentral